RNAcentral lists this ribosomal RNA (478 nucleotides) under uncultured bacterium. RNAcentral describes it as "partial 16S ribosomal RNA". It matches the Rfam family "Bacterial small subunit ribosomal RNA", at positions 28 to 507 of the family's 1533-position model. The record is from RNAcentral.
GAUGAACGCUGGCGGCGUGCUUAACACAUGCAAGUCGAACGGGAAACCUUUUAUUGAAGCUUCGGCAGAUUUAGCUGGUUUCUAGUGGCGGACGGGAGCGUAACGCGUGGGUAACCUGCCUUAUACAGGGGGAUAACAACCAGAAAUGGUUGCUAAUACCGCAUAAGCGCACAGGACCGCAUGGUCCGGUGUGAAAAACUACGGUGGUAUAAGAUGGACCCGCGUUGGAUUAGCUAGUUGGCAGGGUAACGGCCUACCAAGGCGACGAUCCAUAGCCGGCCUGGGAGGGGGAACGGCCACAUUGGGACUGAGACACGGCCCAGACUCCUACGGGAGGCAGCAGUGGGGAAUAUUGCACGAUGGGGGAAACCCUGAUGCAGCGACGCCGCGUGAAGGAAGAAGUAUCUCGGUAUGUAAACUUCUAUCAGCAGGGAAGAUAGUGACGGUACCUGACUAAGAAGCCCCGGCUAACUACGUG